CCCAUGGGACAGGCCCCUGCUGGCAUGCCACCUCCCCCAACCAUCCUCGGAUGCCUCCUCCCGUGGUGGGGGGGAGCGACCAUGGCUGCAGCCAGACUUCUGUCCUGCCCCUCCCCAUCCCCCCAGACCUCUUGUCUUGUCCCACUGGGUGUUAGCCACAGCCUUUGCCUGUGAGUCCUGGGCUCUGCCGUGCCCCAGGCCUUACGGCUGGUGCGGGGGCUGCCGUCUAGGCCCGUUGCUUCUCCUUCACCUCUUCAUGUCAUUGCUCAUCUCCACGAGCCACCUCCUUCCACCAAAAACCACGCUGCAGGUCAGCCCUGUCCUGGGCACACCGGCUGCGACCUGGCUGGGGCCGGCCAAAGAACCAGAUGGAAGAGGCUGAAGCAGCCCCUGGAGGACCACUGGCCUGCACCACCGAGCCUGCCUUGCUGCCCGUUGCCUGACAUCUCAGGCCCAGCCCCGUGCCUCUCCACUUCCUCCUGGUUUGGGUUGAAGACACUGUCCAGAAUCCUCCUUGGAAGGAGAGCCCUUGACACACGACCCAACACCCUCCAGCGUUCAAAUCCCUCCGCAGCCACAGGGACACCCUGCACACGCUCCUGCGGGACAGGCCGGACCCAAAGACUCUGCACCAGGGCCGCCCCCUGCGAGGAGGGGCAUGCCCUCCCGGUCUCUCCUUGCGUAGCCACCCGCCCUCUGACUGAUGGACUGCACUGAUCUGAGGCUCAGACACGCGGGCUGGACCCCUACCCACCCCUCAUGAACCCUGAGACUUGGGGGAGCCACCGAGCCUUCACUUGUCCACACCUGAGGAGUGGGCUCGGACACCUACCUCACAGGGUUGUUGUGAGGAGCGAGUGAUGUGGUUUGAAAGCGCCUGACCUGGGGCUUGGCACACCCUUUUGUGCUCUCAAUAAAUGUGUU
Long non-coding RNA from Neomonachus schauinslandi (Hawaiian monk seal), 924 nucleotides. RefSeq lists it as uncharacterized. The transcript has 4 exons. Lineage: Eukaryota; Metazoa; Chordata; Mammalia; Carnivora; Phocidae. The record is from RefSeq and is a predicted model, not a curated record.